GACGAACGCUGGCGGCGUGCUUAACACAUGCAAGUGGAGCGACGAACCGGGGCUUGCCCCGGGGCAGAGCCGCGAACGGGUGAGUAACACGUGGGUAACGUGCCCCGAUGACCGGGACAACCCGAGGAAACUCGGGCUAAUACCGGAUGUGUCCUCUCGUCAUAAGGCGAGCGGGCAAAGGUAGCUUCGGCUUCCGCAUUGGGAUCGGCCCGCGGCCCAUUAGCUUGUUGGUGAGGUAACGGCUCACCAAGGCUUCGAUGGGUAGCUGGUCUGAGAGGACGAUCAGCCACACUGGGACUGAGACACGGCCCAGACUCCUACGGGAGGCAGCAGUGGGGAAUCUUGCGCAAUGCGCGAAAGCGUGACGCAGCAACGCCGCGUGAGGGAAGAC
Molecule: ribosomal RNA, 391 nt
Filed under: uncultured bacterium
Lineage: Bacteria
Description: bacterial SSU rRNA
Rfam family: Bacterial small subunit ribosomal RNA
Source: RNAcentral